RNAcentral lists this ribosomal RNA (459 nucleotides) under uncultured bacterium. RNAcentral's name for it is "SSU rRNA". It matches the Rfam family "Bacterial small subunit ribosomal RNA", at positions 26 to 518 of the family's 1533-position model. The record is from RNAcentral.
AGAAUCAACGCUGGCGGCGUGCCUAACACAUGCAAGUCGAACGAGAAAGUGGAGCAAUCCAUGAGUAAAGUGGCGCACGGGUGAGUAACACGUGACUAACCUACCCUUGAGUGGGGGAUAACCUAGGGAAACCUGGGCUAAUACCGCAUAAUACCUUCGGGUCAAAGGAGCAAUUCGCUUAAGGAGGGGGUCGCGGCCGAUUAGUUAGUUGGUGAGGUAACGGCUCACCAAGGCGACGAUCAGUAGCUGGUCUGAGAGGAUGAUCAGCCACAUUGGGACUGAGACACGGCCCAAACUCCUACGGGAGGCAGCAGUGGGGAAUAUUGGACAAUGGGCGCAAGCCUGAUCCAGCCAUGCCGCGUGAGUGAUGAAGGCCCUAGGGUUGUAAAGCUCUUUUGUGCGGGAAGAUAAUGACGGUACCGCAAGAAUAAGCCCGGCUAACUUCGUGCCAGCAGCCGC